Long non-coding RNA from Podarcis raffonei (Aeolian wall lizard), 1329 nucleotides. RefSeq lists it as uncharacterized. Lineage: Eukaryota; Metazoa; Chordata; Lepidosauria; Squamata; Lacertidae. The record is from RefSeq and is a predicted model, not a curated record. The transcript is spliced from 3 exons.
UUGUUGUUGUUCUAGUGUUGUUAAUGAUGCCUUGGAUCCAAGGUGAAGUGUGAUGUCAAUAUGAACCAUCAAGAUGAGGCAAUCGCAUAUCUGACUCGCUGAGGAUUAUAGUUACACUGGAGCCAAUUCUUGCAACAAAUUAGCACAGCUAUGAGGAAAUCUGCAAAGAAUGAGGAAGAAACAUCCUGGACCGACCUGUUCCAUCUUGUGGGAUGUUGUCCUGCAGGUCUCAGCCAAGGAUGAGCAGCCAGAGCAUGAGAUGCUGGCCAACAAGAUAUCAUAGAAUCACAGAGCUGAAAGGUGCCCUGAGGAUUAUCUAGUCCAAUCCCCUGCAAUGCAGGAAUAUUUAGCUGGCCCGUACAGGGAUCGAGCCUGCGACCUUGGCAUCACAAGCACCACACUCCAACCAACUGAGCUAACUGGCAGGUAUUCAAUGGACUGUAAGAUGGAGCAGGCCAAUUCGCUCAUUGCACUGCUAAAUAAACAAAUGGUUGUGCAGUACCAUGUUGUGCUUAUGUACUUGGAACUGAAUGGAUGCAAGUAGUUUGAUACCCCCCAGGUGAAAUUCUGCUCUGGUACAGAACUGGGCCGCUCUCAAGUGAGAGAUAGGAGAGGAGUAUUAGAUGGCCCGGUGGGUAUGGGGCAUGAGCCCAUUAGUGCUUUAGAGAUGGGAAGAAAAACAUCCUUUGUAUGUGGGUUGUAAUCCUGUUGAGUAUGAAUGGUUUAUGUGUGAAUAGGUAGUAUCUGAGGUAGUGAAUGACUGUACUGGUUGUGUGAGAUGGAUAGUAAGAUUGGAUGAGUAAUUGUAUGAAUAAUGUGUUUGAUUGUAAUUUCAUACUGCCUUGUAAAAGGUUAAAGGUAAAGGGCCCCUGGACAGUUAAGUCCAGUCAAAGGCAACUAUGGGGUUGCGGCGCUCAUCUUGCUUCAGGCCAAGGGAGCCAGCGUUUGUCUGCAGACAGCUUUUCGGGUUGUGUGGCCAGCAUGACUAAACCGUUUCUGUUGCAAUGGAAGCCAGAGCGUGCGGAAACACAGUUUAUCUUCCCGCUGCAGCAGUGCCUAUUUAUCUACUUGCACUGGUGUGCUUUCAAACUGCUAGGUUGGCAGAAGCUGGGACAGAGCAAUGGAAGCUCACCCUAUCAUGCAGAUUUGAACCACCAACCUUCUGAUUAGCAAGUCCAAAAAUCUCAGUGGUUUAGACCACAGUGCCACCCGCGGGCCUUGUAAUGCUCUCUGAACUUACUUGAUAUUGUUUUUAUGUAUAGGGAUAUUGCUGCUGUGUUUGUGGUUUUUCUUAUGUAAAUCAUUUGACAUAGUUUUAAUGUACUUAUA